This 350-nucleotide unclassified non-coding RNA is filed under the name soil metagenome. Its description in RNAcentral is "partial contains 5.8S ribosomal RNA, internal transcribed spacer 2, and large subunit ribosomal RNA". The stretch from base 1 to 120 matches the Rfam family "5.8S ribosomal RNA", at positions 35 to 154 of the family's 154-position model. The record is from RNAcentral.
GAUGAAGAACGUAGCGAACUGCGAUAAGUAAUGUGAAUUGCAGAAUUCAGUGAAUCAUCGAGUCUUUGAACGCACAUUGCGCCCACUGGCAUUCCGGGGGGCAUGCCUGUCCGAGCGUCAUUGCUGCCCUUCAAGCCCGGCUUGUGUGUUGGGUCGUCGUCCCCCCCGGGGGACGGGCCCGAAAGGCAGCGGCGGCACCGCGUCCGGUCCUCGAGCGUAUGGGGCUUUGUCACCCGCUCGAUUAGGGCCGGCCGGGCGCCAGCCGGCGUCUCCAACCUUCUAUUUUACCAGGUUGACCUCGGAUCAGGUAGGGAUACCCGCUGAACUUAAGCAUAUCAAUAAGCGGAGGA